GACGAACGCUGGCGGCGUGCCUAAUACAUGCAAGUUGAGCGAUGAAGAUUGGUGCUUGCACCAAUUUGAAGAGCAGCGAACGGGUGAGUAACGCGUGGGGAAUCUGCCUUUGAGCGGGGGACAACAUUUGGAAACGAAUGCUAAUACCGCAUAACAACUUUAAACAUAAGUUUUAAGUUUGAAAGAUGCAAUUGCAUCACUCAAAGAUGAUCCCGCGUUGUAUUAGCUAGUUGGUGAGGUAAAGGCUCACCAAGGCGAUGAUACAUAGCCGACCUGAGAGGGUGAUCGGCCACACUGGGACUGAGACACGGCCCAAACUCCUACGGGAGGCAGCAGUAGGGAAUCUUCGGCAAUGGACGAAAGUCUGACCGAGCAACGCCGCGUGAGUGAAGAAGGUUUUCGGAUCGUAAAACUCUGUUGGUAGAGAAGAACGUUGGUGAGAGUGGAAAGCUCAUCAAGUGACGGUAACUACCCAGAAAGGGACGGCUAACUACGUG
This 497-nucleotide ribosomal RNA is filed under the name uncultured bacterium. Its description in RNAcentral is "partial 16S ribosomal RNA". It matches the Rfam family "Bacterial small subunit ribosomal RNA", at positions 28 to 507 of the family's 1533-position model. The record is from RNAcentral.